This is a long non-coding RNA of Etheostoma spectabile (orangethroat darter), 1437 nucleotides long. RefSeq lists it as uncharacterized. The transcript is spliced from 2 exons. The record is from RefSeq and is a predicted model, not a curated record. NCBI's taxonomy places the organism in Eukaryota, Metazoa, Chordata, Actinopteri, Perciformes, Percidae.
CACACACUGGGCCAGUUACAUCAACUUCAGCAUUUCUACCACUGUAUCAAGUCAGUGUGUCUUUUGUUGGGCCAUUCAUUACGUUGCUAUUGUGUGACAAAGAAUUAGAAUUGUAAUUAUUAUGUGUGGGGGAUGAUGAUUAUACCAAGUAAUGAACUGCACUUUUUUAGUGAGGUCAAAGACAAUGAAACCACUUACUAGAUACUACCACUACUCUGAAUUGUGUGUGACCGUUUCUUUGUGUGUGUACUGCUUGUCUUUUUUGUUAUUUAUGAUUUUAUUUGAUUGCUUAUGUUACCAAGAGUUUGUGCUUUUUUUCUGUGAUCACCACAAGAGAAUGAACUACUCCAUUUGAUACGUGAAUGAAAUUGUUUGCACACCUUUGCGCCUUAUGUAACUAAAGAGGGUUAUUGUUUCUUCAUAAUACCCUGUACAAAAUGCCUGGUUAUCCUUAAGAGCCUCUCAAUGUUGUUGCCAGAUGUAAAUAAUGUGAUGUGUUCAUGGUACUAAAAAACACUUAGUCAUUCAGCCCAGAGCAGAACAUUUACUCUUUUAAAGACUGUUUUAGGCAAAUUAAUGAAUGCAUGUAAACAAUACAAUUAACAGAGUGCAUGAUACUAGAGAAGCAGAGAGCUGCUAGCGAUUUACUAGAAGACGGUCCUCAUUGAGGAGUAAUCCUCUGAGUACAUUUGGUCCUGAGUACAUUUUAACACGCCUCCAUUGUCCAGGUCUUGGGAAACAAUGUUUUGGUUUCCCUGCCAAACAAGUUACACCAACAGUGUGUUACCAUGUGGGCAUCCAGCCAAUUACAGUUUACAUGGAAGCUAUUUAGGAAUCAAUCAUUGUGUCACGCAGGGGAUUACUUUCAAAUGUGGUGGGAUGUCUUGCCUUUAAAUCAAGUUGCAUCUGACGGCAUGGGAUUUAUUCAGGCCUAAAAACAAAGACCUUUUUUGAGGAGUGUUUGUACUUUUUCCCCACACGGUACACAUGUGUGUGAGUGUGACAAUGCUUAGCUUAACACUUGAUUUAAAAGGUUUUUUUGUAGCAAUACUUUUACAUCUUUUGAAAUGUACAAUUUGGUGGCUAUAAAUUAAAUGAAUGUGUGUGUGGUACAGAGAGUAUGGCAAAUCAUGAUUCCAUCCAGACUUUAGUUAAACAGUGCAAUGAUAGUCCUUAAAUAUGGUGUGGACAACCUUUACUGCUGUAUAGAGCUGCUCCUUCAGGGAACGCUAUUUAAUUUCAAAAGGCCCAACAAUAGUAUAGAGGGAAGAAUGAUCAGCGCAAUGUUUGUUCCUCUUUCAUUUGGAUGUGCUUCUAUGAACCUGUCAUGUCAGCGUUCCCAAUGUAUCACUAUCUUAAAGCCUUGUUUGUACUUUAAAGAACUUGUAAAAGUAUGUAUUCUGUAAGAAUAUUUUGAAUAACAUUUGAAGUUUCAAA